Molecule: long non-coding RNA, 1229 nt
Filed under: Sarcophilus harrisii (Tasmanian devil)
Lineage: Eukaryota; Metazoa; Chordata; Mammalia; Dasyuromorphia; Dasyuridae
Description: lncRNA (ENSSHAG00000020801.1)
Source: RNAcentral
GUUCAGUCAUUUCAGUUGUGUUCAACUCUUCAUGACCCCAUUUGGGGUUUUUUUGGCAAAGAUAUUACAGUGGUUUGUCAUUUCCUUUUCCAGGUCAUCUUACAUAUAAGGAAACUGAGACAAACUGUGUUUCUCAGGAUCACACAGCUAGUCUGAGUCUGUGCUGCCUAGGAGAGACAUGGAUGGAGGCCCUGGUUUUUGGAAGGAACAGAUGGAAGAUGGAAGUAAAGAGUCUUACCAAAAUAGCUCCACUGGGGAAAGAGAGACCCAAAUUACCAUGCUGUCUUCUGAUUUGGGACUUCCACCAACCCAGAUCAGCAUCCUUCUUCUUUAGCCAUCACCUCCCCCAAAGCUCUUCUGUCUAAUCUACCAAAGGAAACUCCUUCCAACCACAGGCUGGCUAUCUCUUCAUUUCUCAGCCCAGACCUCCAUCAUGUCUUGCUGCCAGAAAGGAAAGCUUUGUCCGAGCCAACGAGAGGCCAUUCCCACCAGGGACAUCUACGUGGACAGAGAAGAGCCGGCUCUCCUUUGCAGUGCCAGGAAGAGAGAGAGAAUAGCUUCCUAAUCCUUAUCACUGGACCCAUCCAGCACCAGGAGGGGGAUCUCCUCCAAUUUCUCCCCUUCGUCCGAACACUCCGAAUAGCCUCGCCUCCAGAUGCUGAGCAUCCUGAAGAAUCUCCGGAAGGAAGGGUGGACCCAUGGACCUCUCUCCUUCUUCCCUUGCUUGCCCUGGCGGCGGUAUUUCUUAGCUUUUUUCCUCCGGGGUACUCGGGGUGCCCCCAUCUUGAAGAAUCUGCCCCACCACCAGCAACUGGAGGCAUUCCCUUCUCCCGAGGUCUGGGGAGCUGCUCUCCGGGGCACGUGCAGCUGCCCGUUGGAGAACGCUUGAGUGGCCACCUUCCAGCUGAGGCUCUGCUCCUUCAGGCGGAUCAUCUUCUCCAUCAAGGGUCGCACAUUCAGGCACAGGUUGGUGUGAGUACUCUCUGCCAUGCUUCUGGGACUCCUAGGUGGUCCUUCAAAGUCUGUCUCCUGCAGAAAGCCUCCAGAGAGUCAUUGAUUAGGGUCAGGGAUGCUUUUCAGCAUGAGAAACCAAAGCUGAAUGGAGUAGACCCAAUUUGCAAGGUCUGACUGCAGCAGUCGGUUUACCUCUAGAACAAAGGCAAGUAACUGCCUUUACUCCCCCCCUCCCCAGAUCCCACAAAGACCUUGGUGGGAGAGUCUAAGUCACG